GAUGAACGCUGGCGGCGUGCCUAAUACAUGCAAGUCGAGCGAACGGACGAGAAGCUUGCUUCUCUGAUGUUAGCGGCGGACGGGUGAGUAACACGUGGAUAACCUACCUAUAAGACUGGGAUAACUUCGGGAAACCGGAGCUAAUACCGGAUAAUAUUUUGAACAGCAUGGUUCAAAAGUGAAAGACGGUCUUUCUGUCACUUAUAGAUGGAUCCGCGCUGCAUUAGCUAGUUGGUAAGGUAACGGCUUACCAAGGCAACGAUGCAUAGCCGACCUGAGAGGGUGAUCGGCCACACUGGAACUGAGACACGGUACAGACUCCUACGGGAGGCAGCAGUAGGGAAUCUUCCGCAAUGGGCGAAAGCCUGACGGAGCAACGCCGCGUGAGUGAUGAAGGUCUUCGGAUCGUAAAACUCUGUUAUUAGGGAAGAACAUAUGUGUAAGUAACUGUGCACAUCUUGACGGUACCUAAUCAGAAAGCCACGGCUAACUACGUG
RNAcentral lists this ribosomal RNA (497 nucleotides) under uncultured bacterium. RNAcentral's name for it is "partial 16S ribosomal RNA". It matches the Rfam family "Bacterial small subunit ribosomal RNA", at positions 28 to 507 of the family's 1533-position model. The record is from RNAcentral.